Molecule: non-coding RNA, 540 nt
Organism: Ochotona princeps (American pika)
Lineage: Eukaryota; Metazoa; Chordata; Mammalia; Lagomorpha; Ochotonidae
Source: the annotation of a RefSeq genome assembly
ACCAGCUCUAGCGACACUCCAGAAUCCUGUCAGACAACAAGCACAACAAGAGCUGUUCUGCAAGUGGUCCAUGUUCCAGCGAUGCAGCCGGGUCUGUCUGCUCUCCUAUGCACAGUCACAACCCUCAUCUGCCUUGGUUUCAUCAACAGCCAGAGUGUCAACCAACCUGUAGCUGUGGAAGAUAUACAAGAAGGGCAAUCCGUAACCAUGGAAUGUGAAAUCACAGUCCCUUGGUCUGACUAUGCAAUGCAUUGGUAUCAACAGUCAUCCAAUGGAGAGAUGAUUCACCUAAUUUAUCUGUAUUCUAGGAACAGCUAUCAAAGAACAGAACGCUAUACUUUGGUGUUUCACAAAUCAGAGAAGCUCCUAAGGUUCACCAUCUCAGCCUUGACCUUCAGAGACUCAGCUGUCUAUUUCUGUGCUGUCGCAGACAGCACGGUGAGAACAGUAACAGACAAAGCCUUACAAAAAGCCUCAGCAGUAGAGAGCCACGUGCUCCAGGAGCUCAGGAGAGCAGCCCAUAGGACAGGAAGAGGGUAA